Molecule: ribosomal RNA, 253 nt
Filed under: uncultured bacterium
Lineage: Bacteria
Description: partial 16S ribosomal RNA
Rfam family: Bacterial small subunit ribosomal RNA
Source: RNAcentral
UACAGAGGGGGCAAGCGUUAUUCGGAAUUAUUGGGCGUAAAGGGCGCGUAGGCGGCCUGGCAAGUGGAAGGUGAAAUCCCUCGGCUUAACCGAGGAACUGCCCUCCAAACUGCUUGGCUUGAGACCGGGAGAGGUGAGUGGAAUUCCCAGUGUAGCGGCGAAAUGCGUAGAUAUUGGGAGGAACACCAGUGGCGAAGGCGGCUCACUGGACCGGUACUGACGCUGAGGCGCGAAAGCGUGGGGAGCAAACAGG